RNAcentral lists this ribosomal RNA (501 nucleotides) under uncultured bacterium. RNAcentral describes it as "partial 16S ribosomal RNA". It matches the Rfam family "Bacterial small subunit ribosomal RNA", at positions 29 to 523 of the family's 1533-position model. The record is from RNAcentral.
AUUGAACGCUGGCGGCAUGCCUUACACAUGCAAGUCGAACGGCAGCACGGGUGCUUGCACCUGGUGGCGAGUGGCGAACGGGUGAGUAAUACAUCGGAACGUACCUUAUCGUGGGGGAUAACGCAGCGAAAGCCGUGCUAAUACCGCAUACGCCCUGAGGGGGAAAGCGGGGGAUCGAAAGACCUCGCGCGAUUAGAGCGGCCGAUGCCUGAUUAGCUUGUUGGUGGGGUAAAAGCCCACCAAGGCGACGAUCAGUUGCUGGUCUGAGAGGACGUGCAGCCACACUGGGACGAGGACACGGCCCAGACUGCUACCGGAGGCAGCAGUGGGGAAUUUUGGACAAUGGGGGCAACCCUGAUCCAGCAAUGCCGCGUGAGUGAAGAAGGCCGUCGGGUUGUAAAGCUCUUUUGUCAGGGAAGAAACACCGGCCCUAACACAGUCCGGGAAUGACGGUACCUGAAGAAUAAGCACCGGCUAACUACGUGCCAGCCGCCGCGGUAA